This 413-nucleotide long non-coding RNA is filed under the name Brassica napus (rape). RNAcentral describes it as "long non-coding RNA (BNAP_LNC021747)". Lineage: Eukaryota; Viridiplantae; Streptophyta; Magnoliopsida; Brassicales; Brassicaceae. The record is from RNAcentral.
UUGAGGGUUUAUAGGGGGAAAUAGGGAGAUGAACCGUACUCUAAUGGGGCUGGACAAGACGUAUGGCUUAAUUUGGAAAGUUAUUUAAGUGUAAUGCUUCUGACUGAAUAGAAGGUAACCAGAUCUUUCAUAUCUCUCUCUCUUUUUACAUUUUCUUUUUGACUUUUUUGCUCUUCAAUUCUAAGUCAUAUUUUCUGUUGACAUCUCAUUAUUGAUUUAAACGGAUAUGUUUUUGGGAACAAAGAAAUCGGAAAUUGACAAAAUAUCAAUAGUCAAAGACUGUUGACAAAAAAAAUCAAGAGACUCGGGGUUUGAUUGGUUGAAGGUGUAACUUUCUAUUUUUUGCUCUAAGAUUUAGGUUUUAAAUUUUUAGUUUUGGAUUUAAUUUAUUUUGCUGUAAAAAAUUUUUUAGA